Scatophagus argus is the source of this 548-nucleotide non-coding RNA. Lineage: Eukaryota; Metazoa; Chordata; Actinopteri; Scatophagidae. The record is from the annotation of a RefSeq genome assembly.
UAAGGAACUGAAGUGUGUGUGUGAGUGUGUCAGUGAGAGGACAGAAGAGCUCACAUCAGUUCAGCUUCAACAUCAGCCAUGUUCUCUGUAGCUCUGAUGCUGCUGCUGGCAGCUGGAUCCUGUGUGAACAGUAUUGAUCUCAUCCAGCCAGACUCAAUGGUUGUGCAGCCUGGACAGUCUUUGACCAUCACCUGUCGACUGUCUGGUUAUUCUGUGACUGACAGCAGCUAUGCAACAGGUUGGAUCAGACACAGUGAAGGAAAACCAAUGGACUGGAUUUUCCAUAUGUGGGGUGGUGGCACCUUUUAUCAAAAUGAUGCUCUGAAGAACAAGUUCAGCUACAGCAGAGACACUUCUGCUGGAACAGUGACUCUAACAGGACAGAAUCUGCAGCCUGAGGACACAGCUGUUUAUUACUGUGUAUGUCAACCCACAGUGACACAAACCACCAACAGACCUGCACAAAUACCCAGAGAUCAUGUGACUCAACCACACACACAAGAGGUUUUAUGAAUUAGGUUAAUUAAUUUUUGAAAGUAAUACACAAC